Long non-coding RNA from Magnolia sinica, 358 nucleotides. RefSeq lists it as uncharacterized. The transcript has 3 exons. The record is from RefSeq and is a predicted model, not a curated record. Lineage: Eukaryota; Viridiplantae; Streptophyta; Magnoliopsida; Magnoliales; Magnoliaceae.
UAACACAUCAUGUUGCAGAGGAAAUGGAAUAUGCCACAUUUGUCUCCACCAAGGGGUUGGAUUGCUAGUGUGUGAAGGUGAAUGCCUGCGCAUGUUUCACUCAAGCUGCAUUGGUUUAGAGGGUUUUCAUGGAAGUGAAUGGUUCUGCCCAUCUUGUGCAUGUGGAUUAUGCGGCGGGGGUGAAUACAAUAAUGACGGCGAUCAGUUUGUGGAGCGAACGAUUGUGUAUUGUGAUCAAUGUGAACAUAGAUAUCAUGUGGGUUGUCUAAGAGAAAGAGGAGUCGAAGGGCUUGAAAGUCGUCCGAAAGGAAAUUGGUUUUGCAAGGAAAAAUGUGCAGAGGUACUUCAAAAUUUUCUC